UACGUAGGGUGCAAGCGUUAAUCGGAAUUACUGGGCGUAAAGCGUGCGCAGGCGGUUCUUUAAGACAGAUGUGAAAUCCCCGGGCUCAACCUGGGAACUGCAUUUGUGACUGUAGAGCUGGAGUGCGGCAGAGGGGGGUGGAAUUCCGCGUGUAGCAGUGAAAUGCGUAGAUAUCAGGAGGAACACCGGUGGCGAAGGCGCACAUCUGGCCCAAUACUGACGCUAAAGCGCGAAAGCUAGGGGAGCAAACGGG
This 253-nucleotide ribosomal RNA is filed under the name uncultured bacterium. RNAcentral describes it as "partial 16S ribosomal RNA". It matches the Rfam family "Bacterial small subunit ribosomal RNA", at positions 524 to 776 of the family's 1533-position model. The record is from RNAcentral.